GAUGAACGCUGGCGGCGUGCCUAACACAUGCAAGUCGAACGAGGUAGCAAUACCUAGUGGCAGACGGGUGAGUAACGCGUGGUCAACCUUCCCUACAGUGGGGGAUAACUAGCCGAAAGGUUAGCUAAUACCGCAUGACAUCUUCGAGAGGCAUCUUUUGAAGAUAAAAGGAGCAAUCCGCUGAAGGACGGGACCGCGUCCCAUUAGCUAGUUGGUGGGGUAAUGGCCUACCAAGGCAACGAUGGGUAGCUGGUUUGAGAGAGCGACCAGCCACACU
RNAcentral lists this ribosomal RNA (277 nucleotides) under uncultured bacterium. Its description in RNAcentral is "partial 16S ribosomal RNA". It matches the Rfam family "Bacterial small subunit ribosomal RNA", at positions 28 to 314 of the family's 1533-position model. The record is from RNAcentral.